CCUACGGGUGGCUGCAGUAGGGAAUUUUGCGCAAUGGGCGAAAGCCUGACGCAGCAACGCCGCGUGAUUGAUUAAGCCCUUCGGGGUGUAAAGAUCUUUCAGUGGGGACGAAACUUGACGGUACCCACAGAGUAAGCACCGGCUAACUCCGUGCCAGCAGCCGCGGUAAUACGGAGGGUGCAAGCGUUUUCCGGAAUCAUUGGGCGUAACGGGUUCGUAGGUGGCUUAUUAAGUCUGGUGUGAAAUGCAGAGGCUCAACUUUUGUUCGGCAAUGGAUACUGGUAAGCUUGAUUGCGGUAGAGGUAGAGGGAAUUCGUGGUGUAGCGAUGAAAUGCGUAGAUAUCACGAGGAACAUCGAUGGCGAAAGCGCUUUACUGAGCCGUAAUUGACACUGAGGAACGAAAGCCGGGGUAGCAAAUGGGAUUAGAUACCCGUGUAGUC
RNAcentral lists this ribosomal RNA (441 nucleotides) under uncultured bacterium. RNAcentral's name for it is "partial 16S ribosomal RNA". It matches the Rfam family "Bacterial small subunit ribosomal RNA", at positions 338 to 795 of the family's 1533-position model. The record is from RNAcentral.